RNAcentral lists this ribosomal RNA (482 nucleotides) under uncultured bacterium. RNAcentral's name for it is "partial 16S ribosomal RNA". It matches the Rfam family "Bacterial small subunit ribosomal RNA", at positions 30 to 507 of the family's 1533-position model. The record is from RNAcentral.
AUUGAACGCUGGCGGCAUGCUUUACACAUGCAAGUCGAACGGUAACAGGCCGCAAGGUGCUGACGAGUGGCGAACGGGUGAGUAAUGCAUCGGAACGUGCCCAGUCGUGGGGGAUAACUACUCGAAAGGUUAGCUAAUACCGCAUACGACCUAUGGAUGAAAGCGGGGACCCGUAAGGCCUCCGCGGUUUGGGGCGGCCGAUGUCAGAUUAGGUAGUUGGUGGGGUAAAGGCUCACCAAGCCAACGAUCUGUAGCUGGUCUGAGAGGACGACCAGCCACACUGGGACUGAGACACGGCCCAGACUCCUACGGGAGGCAGCAGUGGGGAAUUUUGGACAAUGGGCGCAAGCCUGAUCCAGCAAUGCCGCGUGCAGGAAGAAGGCCUUCGGGUUGUAAACUGCUUUUGUACGGAACGAAACGGCUCUGGUUAAUACCCGGGGCUAAUGACGGUACCGUAAGAAUAAGCACCGGCUAACUACGUG